This 374-nucleotide long non-coding RNA is filed under the name Manacus vitellinus (golden-collared manakin). RNAcentral's name for it is "lncRNA (ENSMVIG00005014447.1)". Lineage: Eukaryota; Metazoa; Chordata; Aves; Passeriformes; Pipridae. The record is from RNAcentral.
CCCGCCCCGGCGGGCACCGCUGCAGCGGGCAGGUUUGGGGCAAAAACGGGGAGAGCAUCAGCCCGGGCGUCACGCCUCUCUGCUCCCCUCGGCUGCACGCUGCGUGCGGUGCCUGGAGUCCCGCGGAUCGGGGGCUGUUGCGCAGAACAUCCCUUUUAAAGGCGUCUCUUGGCACAAAGGUUCUGAGUCCCUGGCUGUUACUGGUGUGUUGGAAAGCAAUGACUCCUCAGAUGUUCCUGUAUACCUUUAUCUGUCUGCCUCCAAUUACUUUAUGAGCUCAUGAAAAUGAACACAGGGCAUCUUUGACAUUCCUCUCUCUCAUUUCCUCUCCUAUUUUUUACAUAGGGCACUUUUGCCAAUAACUCUUUCCUAGU